AGUGAACGCUGGCGGUAGGCCUAACACAUGCAAGUCGAACGGCAGCACAGUAAGAGCUUGCUCUUACGGUUGGCGAGUGGCGGACGGGUGAGGAAUACAUCGGAAUCUACUUUUUCGUGGGGGAUAACGUAGGGAAACUUACGCUAAUACCGCAUACGACCUACGGGUGAAAGCAGAGGAUCUUCGGACCUUGCGCGAUUGAAUGAGCCGAUGUCGGAUUAGCUAGUUGGCGGGGUAAAGGCCCACCAAGGCGACGAUCCGUAGCUGGUCUGAGAGGAUGAUCAGCCACACUGGAACUGAGACACGGUCCAGACUCCUACGGGAGGCAGCAGUGGGGAAUAUUGGACAAUGGGCGCAAGCCUGAUCCAGCCAUACCGCGUGGGUGAAGAAGGCCUUCGGGUUGUAAAGCCCUUUUGUUGGGAAAGAAAAGCAGCAGAUUAAUACCCCGCUGUUCUGACGGUACCCAAAGAAUAAGCACCGGCUAACUUCGUG
RNAcentral lists this ribosomal RNA (492 nucleotides) under uncultured bacterium. Its description in RNAcentral is "partial 16S ribosomal RNA". It matches the Rfam family "Bacterial small subunit ribosomal RNA", at positions 29 to 507 of the family's 1533-position model. The record is from RNAcentral.